RNAcentral lists this ribosomal RNA (252 nucleotides) under uncultured bacterium. RNAcentral's name for it is "partial 16S ribosomal RNA". It matches the Rfam family "Bacterial small subunit ribosomal RNA", at positions 524 to 776 of the family's 1533-position model. The record is from RNAcentral.
UACGUAGGUCCCGAGCGUUGUCCGGAUUUAUUGGGCGUAAAGCGAGCGCAGGUGGUUUAUUAAGUCUGGUGUAAAAGGCAGUGGCUCAACCAUUGUAUGCAUUGGAAACUGGUAGACUUGAGUGCAGGAGAGGAGAGUGGAAUUCCAUGUGUAGCGGUGAAAUGCGUAGAUAUAUGGAGGAACACCGAUGGCGAAAGCGGCUCUCCGGCCUGUAACUGACACUGAGGCUCGAAAGCGUGGGGAGCAAACAGG